CCAAAAAUAAUUUAAAAUAAAAUCUUGUUCUUACAACACAAUACAUAAAGGAACAUCCCUUUUUUUUGGA
RNAcentral lists this transfer RNA (70 nucleotides) under Aphrocallistes vastus (cloud sponge). RNAcentral's name for it is "tRNA-Val". The record is from RNAcentral. Lineage: Eukaryota; Metazoa; Porifera; Hexactinellida; Sceptrulophora; Aphrocallistidae.